UAUCCGGAAUUAUUGGGCGUAAAGGGCUCGUAGGCGGUUCGUCGCGUCCGGUGUGAAAGUCCAUCGCUUAACGGUGGAUCCGCGCCGGGUACGGGCGGGCUUGAGUGCGGUAGGGGAGACUGGAAUUCCCGGUGUAACGGUGGAAUGUGUAGAUAUCGGGAAGAACACCAAUGGCGAAGGCAGGUCUCUGGGCCGUCACUGACGCUGAGGAGCGAAAGCGUGGGGAGCGAACAGGAUUAGAUACCCUGGUAGUCCACGCCGUAAACGGUGGAUGCCUGCAUGUGGAGGA
This 289-nucleotide ribosomal RNA is filed under the name uncultured bacterium. RNAcentral describes it as "partial 16S ribosomal RNA". It matches the Rfam family "Bacterial small subunit ribosomal RNA", at positions 542 to 830 of the family's 1533-position model. The record is from RNAcentral.